RNAcentral lists this ribosomal RNA (426 nucleotides) under uncultured Oscillospiraceae bacterium. RNAcentral describes it as "bacterial SSU rRNA". It matches the Rfam family "Bacterial small subunit ribosomal RNA", at positions 355 to 794 of the family's 1533-position model. Lineage: Bacteria; Bacillati; Bacillota; Clostridia; Eubacteriales; Oscillospiraceae. The record is from RNAcentral.
UGGGGAAUAUUGGGGCAAUGGGGCGAAAGCCUGACCCAGCAACGCCGCGUGAAGGAAGAAGGUCUUCGGAUUGUAAACUUCUUUUAUGAGGGACGAAGGACGUGACGGUACCUCGUGAAUAAGCCACGGCUAACUACGUGCCAGCAGCCGCGGUAAUACGUAGGUGGCGAGCGUUAUCCGGAUUUAUUGGGUUUAAAGGGUGCGUAGGCGGACUUUCAAGUCAGCGGUAAAAUUUCCGGGCUUAACCUGGUUGUGCCGUUGAAACUGAGAGACUGGAGUGCGCUUGAGGUAGGCGGAAUGCGUUGUGUAGCGGUGAAAUGCAUAGAUAUGACGCAGAACUCCGAUUGCGAAGGCAGCUUACCAAAUCGCUACUGACGCUGAGGCACGAAAGCGUGGGGAUCGAACAGGAUUAGAUACCCUGGUAGU